RNAcentral lists this ribosomal RNA (442 nucleotides) under uncultured bacterium. RNAcentral describes it as "partial 16S ribosomal RNA". It matches the Rfam family "Bacterial small subunit ribosomal RNA", at positions 338 to 795 of the family's 1533-position model. The record is from RNAcentral.
CCUACGGGUGGCAGCAGUGGGGGAUAUUGCACAAUGGGGGAAACCCUGAUGCAGCGAUGCCGCGUGAAUGAAGACGGCCUUCGGGUUGUAAACUGCUUUUAUAAGCGAGAAAUAUGAUGGUAACUUAUGACUAAGGAUCGGCUAACUACGUGCCAGCAGCCGCGGUCAUACGUAGGAUCCGAGCAUUAUCCGGGGUGACUGGGUGUAAAGAGUUGCGUAGGUGGCAUAAUAAGUAGCUAGUGAAAUCUGGUGGCUCAACCAUUCAGACUAUUAGCUAAACUGUUAAGCUCGAGACCGUUAGGGGUAACUGGAAUUUCUAGUGUAGGAGUGAAAUCCGUAGAUAUUAGAAGGAACACCAAUAGCGUAGGCAGGUUGCUGGGACGGUUCUGACACUAAGGCACGAAAGCGUAGGGAGCAAACGGGAUUAGAUACCCUUGUAGUC